This 1925-nucleotide long non-coding RNA is filed under the name Nicotiana tabacum (common tobacco). RNAcentral describes it as "long non-coding RNA (NTAB_LNC019037)". The record is from RNAcentral. Lineage: Eukaryota; Viridiplantae; Streptophyta; Magnoliopsida; Solanales; Solanaceae.
GAAAUAAUGAUAAUAAAAAUGGACUUAUAUACAAAGAGCUCCCAAGGACUGGUAGUACAAGUCAUGAGCCACUAAGACUUAGAUUUUUAUAAAACUAAAUUGAAAUAAUUACAUCGUCUAUUUGAAAUGUAAACGAACUGUGGAUCAAAUGCAACAAGUGAUAGCCAUAAGUGGAAUGCAGGUGCAUCUUCAAUGUCAGCCCUCGCCGUACACAGCAACAUCAACACAAAUAUCUGCACGCAAGGUGCAGAAGUGUAGUAUGAGUACAAUAGGCCCCAUGUACUCAAUAAGAAUCCUAACUAGCCUCGGCGAGGUAAAAGAAGAAAGAACUGUAGAUGAUACUCACUAACACCUAUGCAGUUCAGUAUUUUCAACAAGUAUAGAACAUGUAUAUGAUCAAAUCAGGGACAAUAUCAGGUAAAACCAUUUUUAUGCUCACAAUUCUUAGCCUUAGAGUGUUCUGCUCAGCCAACAAUCCAACAUAUAAGGAAGAUAUACAAGUAAAUCGGGUAAUCAGUUAAGUGAUUAGCAAGCAAAGAUGAAAGAUUUCCGACAUCGGAUCACUCCUCAAUUCUUAUUUUACAUUUUGAAUGGUUUUUACAAAAUUUCUCAUUUUCUUCCAUUUAAUUAAAUAAUUUAAUGAUAUAAAUAAGUAUGAAAUCAUGAAAUGUAACUAGCUUUACUAGCGCUCACAUAAAUAUCAACUGCACGGAUAACUCACGCGAUAUAGUGCCAAUAUACAGAUCCGUACUGACAACUCACAUGCUCAAGGAAAAUUCACGUGCUAUAUUAUCAAUAUCUAGAUCUGCACAGACAACUCACGUGCUAUAGUAUCAAUAUCUGGAUCUGCACGGACAACUCACGUGCUAUAGUAUCAAUCCGCCCGGCGUGGUCACAGGUAUAAAAGUCCAAAUCAUAUUGCACAGAAGCAAGUAUACAAGAACACAUGUAUAUGAUAGAUAAAAUAUCAGAUUUCAUGCUCCUGGACUGGUAUAAUUACAUGCUAAAAGUGUAGGCAUGUGCAAUGUGCGCUAUCGUAGCUCAAAUCGACAAUUUAUCAUAGAACUUGCAAUUACCAAGUUUUAUUCAGGGAAUUACCCUCUUCGUAAUCUCAAACAUAUCUCAAAUAGUUCACAACAAUUCAACAAUUACCUAAAUAUGCACUCUCCCGAGUUAUGCACACUAAAUAGGCACAGCUAAUUGAGGAUCCUAUCAAUUAAUUACAACAAGAACGUAGUUGAACAAAUAGAGAUUAAACCAGGCAACUAUAUUAACAUAACAAGAAGUUCAUCCUUCAAUAGGUUCCAUCAAAACCUUAGACUAAAUAUUUAGCUACUCAUACUAGGAUUCAUCACAACAACAUUCAAAUUCAUCAUAAAUCGUAAAAACAAAAGGAAGAAAGGAAGAACUCGAUGUUGAAUUAUCCUCCUUGCCUCUUGCCUCUCCUUGCCUUGAACUAAGCUAUGAAAACCUUGAUAAUCCUCUCUUGGGCGAGCUAGACCUUCUAUAUGUUAAGUGGAUUUGCCCCCGAACUUAUUUUACCCCUGCAAUUUACUCUUCCGGAACUGGGCUAGCGCGGUCGCGCUAAUGGACGCACUAGUCCAGGUCUUCAUUUCAUCUCUUCUUUUUCUCGUCUUCCCACGUACUCGGCUCCUAGGGGCUUUUCUUGCUUCAAUUUAGAUGCAAUCAUAACUUUAAGGCCUCAUACGUGCUACUCACUCCUACAACGUGUGAAAUUCACAAUUAGAGCCAAUUUAUCAUCAUUUAACUAUAUUAUCACAAUGAAACAUAAUCAAGCUGAGGCAUAAACAAUCGCCAAAUUACAUAAAUCUAGCCUAUUAUCAGACACAUUGUGCAUUCAGUGGGCUCCAUUUAUUCCGAAAUUAUUUUUUCAGACAUUAUUUCGACAUUUUGUUGCUGCUAAC